RNAcentral lists this ribosomal RNA (445 nucleotides) under uncultured bacterium. Its description in RNAcentral is "SSU rRNA". It matches the Rfam family "Bacterial small subunit ribosomal RNA", at positions 26 to 518 of the family's 1533-position model. The record is from RNAcentral.
AGAGCGAACGCUGGCGGCAGGCCUAACACAUGCAAGUCGAGCGCCCGUAGCAAUACGGGAGCGGCAGACGGGAUAGUAACACGUGGGAACGCGCCCUUCGGUUCGGAAUAACUCAGGGAAACUUGAGCUAAUACCGGAUACGCCCUUACGGGGAAAGAUUUAUUGCCGAAGGAACGGCCCGCGUCCGAUUAGCUAGUUGGUGAGGUAAUGGCUCACCAAGGCGACGAUCGGUAGCUGGUCUGAGAGGAUGACCAGCAUCACUGGGACUGAGACACGGCCCAGACUCCUACGGGAGGCAGCAGUGGGGAAUAUUGGACAAUGGGCGCAAGCCUGAUCCAGCCAUGCCGCGUGGAUGAUGAAGGCCUUAGGGUGUAAAGUCCUUUUAACGGGGAAGAUAAUGACGGUACCCGUAGAAUAAGCCCGGCUAACUCGCGCCAGCAGCCGC